AUGAAAGUGGGCGAGGACGCUCAGGAAAACACACACAUGGCCCAAAGGUUGACAAUAACAACCCGAAAUUCAACACCAAAACUGAUGCACACUUUGAGGUCAACGAAAACAACAACUCGCCUCAAAGUUGAGCAGUCCAUCCUUUUAACCCCAUCACCCCUCGGCCAUUACACAUUCCUUUAUGCACCCCAGCUGACCUCUGCGCCCUUUGCCACCGACUAACACGGCAGUUAAGUCCAAGGUUGAGCGGACAUAACAACGGCAGUGCCAGGUACCACUGGUGGAUAAGAGGACCUGACAGCUGUAGCAUUGUGCAGUGAUCAUCACCCAUCAGGGAGGGUGCAGGGGGGUGACACCCAUCCCAUUGACCACCCUCAGGGAGCCCGGCUCCAUUGUUGCAGCCUACCCACGUCGCACAUUCCUGGAUUGAACCAUGCCGUGUCGUACUGCCGCACAACAGCGACGUGCAACAGAUGGAUUCAACACUGAAUAGUGUGACAAACGCACAUGGUCAAUUAAUUGGAAGAGCGGCUGUUGUGGUAGACUCGCCUUACCAAGGGGACCCAUCAGGGAACAACUUGACUGCCCUACACUGUACUCCAUUCACACAGAGCGAUCAGCACCCCAAAGGAAAAACUUCAUACACAUUAUCUUCGGAAGAUGGAGCUCGUUUGACAAGAGAAAUUCUUCCCAUCGUUUUUGCGGCUGUAUCUCCAGAGCAACGUGGAGGAGGAAGCCGUAGUGCUAGUAGGUCAACAAAAACAAAGCAAUACAAUAAACUUUUUGAAUUAUUUGAACAAGUGGCACCAACGUGUUGAAGUGGAAAGCAUGAAAAUGCCAGCAGAGUUAGCGCAGCCCGCCCGCGUAGGCAUUAGCAGAUUAGCCGCUAAUAACUAGCCGGCAACCACCGGACAAAAGCAUCAAUAAAGCGUGUCAUCUUUUGAUCGGGCACAUUUGCAAUUAGCGAUGAUUUUAAUGGUGUGUGUGGGAUCAUAACUUUAAAAAUUAUGUUUAU
Hippocampus comes (tiger tail seahorse) is the source of this 1015-nucleotide long non-coding RNA. RefSeq lists it as uncharacterized. The transcript has 4 exons. NCBI's taxonomy places the organism in Eukaryota, Metazoa, Chordata, Actinopteri, Syngnathiformes, Syngnathidae. The record is from RefSeq and is a predicted model, not a curated record.